RNAcentral lists this ribosomal RNA (492 nucleotides) under uncultured bacterium. RNAcentral describes it as "partial 16S ribosomal RNA". It matches the Rfam family "Bacterial small subunit ribosomal RNA", at positions 29 to 507 of the family's 1533-position model. The record is from RNAcentral.
AGUGAACGCUGGCGGUAGGCCUAACACAUGCAAGUCGAACGGCAGCACAGUAAGAGCUUGCUCUUACGGGUGGCGAGUGGCGGACGGGUGAGGAAUACAUCGGAAUCUACUUUUUCGUGGGGGAUAACGUAGGGAAACUUACGCUAAUACCGCAUACGACCUACGGGUGAAAGCAGGGGAUCUUCGGACCUUGCGCGAUUGAAUGAGCCGAUGUCGGAUUAGCUAGUUGGCGGGGUAAAGGCCCACCAAGGCGACGAUCCGUAGCUGGUCUGAGAGGAUGAUCAGCCACACUGGAACUGGGACACGUUCCAGACUCCUACGGGAGGCAGUAGUGGGGAAUAUUAGACAAUGGGCGCAAGCCUGAUCCAGCCAUACCGCGUGGGUGAAGAAGGCCUUCGGGUUGUAAAGCCCUUUUGUUGGGAAAGAAAAGCAGCAGGUUAAUACCCCGCUGUUCUGACGGUACCCAAAGAAUAAGCACCGGCUAACUUCGUG